GACGAACGCUGGCGGCGUGCUUAACACAUGCAAGUCGAACGGAAAGGCCCUGCUUUUGUGGGGUGCUCGAGUGGCGAACGGGUGAGUAACACGUGAGUAACCUGCCCUUGACUUUGGGAUAACUUCAGGAAACUGGGGCUAAUACCGGAUAGGAGCUCCUGCUGCAUGGUGGGGGUUGGAAAGUUUCGGCGGUUGGGGAUGGACUCGCGGCUUAUCAGCUUGUUGGUGGGGUAGUGGCUUACCAAGGCUUUGACGGGUAGCCGGCCUGAGAGGGUGACCGGCCACAUUGGGACUGAGAUACGGCCCAGACUCCUACGGGAGGCAGCAGUGGGGAAUAUUGCACAAUGGGCGGAAGCCUGAUGCAGCAACGCCGCGUGCGGGAUGACGGCCUUCGGGUUGUAAACCGCUUUCGCCUGUGACGAAGCGUGAGUGACGGUAAUGGGUAAAGAAGCACCGGCUAACUACGUGCCAGCAGCCGCGGUGAUACGUAGGGUGCGAGCGUUGUCCGGAUUUAUUGGGCGUAAAGGGCUCGUAGGUGGUUGAUCGCGUCGGAAGUGUAAUCUUGGGGCUUAACCCUGAGCGUGCUUUCGAUACGGGUUGACUUGAGGAAGGUAGGGGAGAAUGGAAUUCCUGGUGGAGCGGUGGAAUGCGCAGAUAUCAGGAGGAACACCAGUGGCGAAGGCGGUUCUCUGGGCCUUUCCUGACGCUGAGGAGCGAAAGCGUGGGGAGCGAACAGGCUUAGAUACCCUGGUAGUCCACGCUGUAAACGGUGGGUACUAGGUGUGGGGUCCAUUCCACGGGUUCCGUGCCGUAGCUAACGCUUUAAGUACCCCGCCUGGGGAGUACGGCCGCAAGGCUAAAACUCAAAGGAAUUGACGGGGCCCCGCACAAGCGGCGGAGCAUGCGGAUUAAUUCGAUGCAACGCGUAGAACCUUACCUGGGUUUGACAUGGAUCGGGAGUGCUCAGAGAUGGGUGUGCCUCUUUUGGGGUCGGUUCACAGGUGGUGCAUGGCUGUCGUCAGCUCGUGUCGUGAGAUGUUGGGUUAAGUCCCGCAACGAGCGCAACCCUUGUUCACUGCUGCCAGCACGUUAUGGUGGGGACUCAGUGGAGACCGCCGGGGUCAACUCGGAGGAAGGUGGGGAUGACGUCAAGUCAUCAUGCCCUUUAUGUCCAGGGCUUCACGCAUGCUACAAUGGCUGGUACAGAGAGUGGCGAGCCUGUGAGGGUGAGCGAAUCUCGGAAAGCCGGUCUCAGUUCGGAUUGGGGUCUGCAACUCGACCUCAUGAAGUCGGAGUCGCUAGUAAUCGCAGAUCAGCAACGCUGCGGUGAAUAAAUUCCCGGG
This 1343-nucleotide ribosomal RNA is filed under the name uncultured bacterium. RNAcentral describes it as "16S ribosomal RNA". It matches the Rfam family "Bacterial small subunit ribosomal RNA", at positions 28 to 1378 of the family's 1533-position model. The record is from RNAcentral.